AGCUCCAAUAGCGUAUAUUAAUGUUGUUGCAGUUAAAAAGCUCGUAGUUGAAUUUCUGAGUAGUCUUCUUCGUCUGCAGGAAACUGUGUGAACGUCGCCAAGGCUGCUCAUCCUUCUGAAGAACCUAUGUGGCAUUCAUUUGUCGUGUAGGGGAUCAGAUACUUUACCUUGAAAAAAUUAGAGUGUUUCAGGCAGGCAAUCGCCGGAAUACAUUAGCAUGGAAUAAUUGAAUAGGACUUCCGGUUCUAUUUGUUGGUUUUGUGGACCGAAGUAAUGAUUAAUAGGGAUAGUUGGGGGCAUUCGUAUUUAAUUGUCAGAGGUGAAAUUCAUGGAUUUGUUAAAGACGAACUUAUGCGAAAGCAUUUGCCAAGGAUGUUUUCAUUAAUCAAGAACGAAAGUA
RNAcentral lists this ribosomal RNA (400 nucleotides) under phytoplankton environmental sample. RNAcentral describes it as "partial small subunit ribosomal RNA". It matches the Rfam family "Eukaryotic small subunit ribosomal RNA", at positions 587 to 991 of the family's 1831-position model. The record is from RNAcentral.